Long non-coding RNA from Zophobas morio, 480 nucleotides. RefSeq lists it as uncharacterized. The record is from RefSeq and is a predicted model, not a curated record. The transcript has 2 exons. NCBI's taxonomy places the organism in Eukaryota, Metazoa, Arthropoda, Insecta, Coleoptera, Tenebrionidae.
CGGUGAAGUUUGAAAAGUACUGACACAAAGUGCAUUCGUAAAUUGAAAGCCGUUGAUAAUUGUGUAAUAGUUAAAAAUGCCAUCCCAACUGCGAUUGAAAGUACCCAACAUUAAGAAAUACUGGGGUAAAGUAAGACAUACAGCAGCCGAAAAACAAGACACCAAAGAUGCUGCCUUUAUUGUUGUCUGCGCUUCUGGUUGCCUGCUACUCAUGUUGUUAUUUUUAAAGGGACACGCUAAUGUCGUCACCCAAACAUAUUUUAAGCAGAAAACGAUUGUAGCCUGUACAACAUAAAUCAAGCCAUAUCACAGAAGAAAAUUUUUUGGUUCUAUAUCAGUGAGAAAUGUCAAAGGUAGUUGAUGUCAGUUAGAGUACCGCAACUGCGUAAUCAUUAAAUGAAGAAGUGCUAAGUUAAAAUAAAUGUAUUCCGAAAAAGAUGUGAUUUAUGUUGGUAUUAAAUAUUUAUUCCACUGUUUAAA